GAUGAACGCUGGCGGCGUGCCUAACACAUGCAAGUCGAACGAAGCACCUUACCUGAUUCUUCGGAUGAAAGUUUGGUGACUGAGUGGCGGACGGGUGAGUAACGCGUGGGUAACCUGCCCUGUACAGGGGGAUAACAGCUGGAAACGGCUGCUAAUACCGCAUAAGCGCACGAGGAGACAUCUCCUUGUGUGAAAAACUCCGGUGGUACAGGAUGGGCCCGCGUCUGAUUAGCUGGUUGGCAGGGUAACGGCCUACCAAGGCAACGAUCAGUAGCCGGUCUGAGAGGAUGAACGGCCACAUUGGAACUGAGACACGGUCCAAACUCCUACGGGAGGCAGCAGUGGGGAAUAUUGCACAAUGGGGGAAACCCUGAUGCAGCAACGCCGCGUGAGUGAAGAAGUAUUUCGGUAUGUAAAGCUCUAUCAGCAGGGAAGAUAAUGUCGGUACCUGACGAAGAAGCUCCGGCUAAAUACGUG
This 477-nucleotide ribosomal RNA is filed under the name uncultured bacterium. Its description in RNAcentral is "partial 16S ribosomal RNA". It matches the Rfam family "Bacterial small subunit ribosomal RNA", at positions 28 to 507 of the family's 1533-position model. The record is from RNAcentral.